This 329-nucleotide unclassified non-coding RNA is filed under the name soil metagenome. RNAcentral describes it as "partial contains 5.8S ribosomal RNA, internal transcribed spacer 2, and large subunit ribosomal RNA". The stretch from base 1 to 120 matches the Rfam family "5.8S ribosomal RNA", at positions 35 to 154 of the family's 154-position model. The record is from RNAcentral.
GAUGAAGAACGUAGUGAAAUGCGAUAAGUAAUGUGAAUUGCAGAAUUCAGUGAAUCAUCGAAUCUUUGAACGCACAUUGCGCCCCUUGGUAUUCCGAGGGGCAUGCCUGUUCGAGCGUCAUUAUAACCCCUCAAGCUCAGCUUGGUGUUGGGGCCUGCUGCACUGGCAGCCCUUAAAAUCAGUGGCGGCGCCAUCUGGCUCUAAGCGUAGUAAUUCUUCUCGCUAUGGAGUCCUGGUGGAUGCUUGCCAUCAACCCCCAAUUUUUCUAUGGUUGACCCCGGAUCAGGUAGGGAUACCCGCUGAACUUAAGCAUAUCAAUAAGCGGAGGA